AACAGGCUUUGUUCUGUUAUUCGCAACAACAUGGAUGGAACUAGAGGUCAUCGCAAUGAGUAAGAUAAGCCAGGCACCCGGAGCAACCAAUGAGAGUUUCCACAACAGCCAUGGGCAGUCUGCUCAAGUUCACAGGAGGAAUUUUCCACGUGUCAGUGAGCGAGCAUGGAGAAUCUGUGCAGGUGGCCCACACCACAUGUGAGUUCAUCACCAUCACAGGUUGGACUACGCAGAUCUAAGCUAUGUUUAAACCGACACGCAGCACAAGACACACAUUCGAUGAAAAUAAUAGGGAAAGAAAGGCGGCGGUGUCAGAAGACGGUUGUCAGGUGGACCCUGCUGUGAACAUUUCGCUGUGUAACCGAAACACCACACUCGCUGUCUUAAGACUAAAAUGGACAUAGAAAGUCCUGUCAGUGUUCUCAGAAAACUGUAUGUGAGGCCGUCUCUCCAAACAAUAAAAAUCGAGUAUCCAGACCAGGUACACAGAGAAAGCAGACUAGUGAAGGCACCAGAAAGUAAUUGUCUCUUCCCAUCGCUUCCCCUCUCCUCUUCUCUCUCCCUUUGUUUCCGCUAACAGGGUCUCAGGGAACCCAGGCUGGCUUAGAACUUUCUGUCUAGCCUGACUGUCCUGAAUUCUGAGGCUACCCACAUGCUCCUCCACACCCAGUCCAUACAGCGCUGGGGACUGAACCCAGGGCUUUCUGCAAGUCAGGUAAGUGCUUUACCAAUUGAGCUACAGCUGCACACCAUUUACACCUCCUAAGCUUGCUUCUCAAUGAGCACGUGCUGGUUUAGUGAUCAGAAAUACCACAACCCUAUCUUCAGGAGAGAACACGUCUGUUGGUCAUUCCUUGACCCUCCUGGUGGAGCAGCCCCUACUCCAUUUUC
This is a long non-coding RNA of Alexandromys fortis (reed vole), 891 nucleotides long. RefSeq lists it as uncharacterized. The record is from RefSeq and is a predicted model, not a curated record. Lineage: Eukaryota; Metazoa; Chordata; Mammalia; Rodentia; Cricetidae. The transcript is spliced from 3 exons.